UUUAAAAUGUGGUUGUGAGCCUCCACCUGAAUGCUGGGACCUGACUAUAGAUCCUCUUCCAAGAGCAGUAUAUACUAUUGUGAACCUGAGCUAUUUUUCUAGUCCAUCCCCCAGCCUCCCAAGACAGGGUUUUACCCUGUAACCAUACUCACUUUGAACUCCUAGUAACCCUUCUGUCUCAGUAUCCAUAGUUUAAGAUUCUAGGCAAGAGGUACCAUACAUUUGGCCAACCCAAACACUCCUAAAAAUUAGAUAAAAGCCAGAUCUAAUAGCACAUACGUCUGCAAUCCCAGCUACUCAGGAACAAAACAAUGUGGUGAUGGAGUGUAUCUUUAAUCCCAGCACUUAGGAGGAAGAGAUAGGCGGAUCUCUGUGAGACUGAGGCCAGCAUAGUUUACAGAAUAAGUUCCAGGAUAGCCAGGGAUACGCAGAAAAACCCUUUCUCAAAAAACCAAAACCCAAACCAAACCCAACCCAACAAAAAACUCAAGCCUACUUGGGCUACACUGCAAUUGCAGGGCCAACCCUAACAAUUUAAAGACCUUGUUCCAAAAUAAAAAGCUAUGAGUUGUUUGGAAUACAGGCACAUGAGGCCUGGAGUUCAAUAUCUAAUAUUGAUCGGGUGGGGAGGAUGAGUACUAGGGAAGUUUAGGUAGGAUGAUUCCAACUUCAAGGUCUUCUUGACAAUUCAGAAAGACCCGUCUCAAACCAAAAACCCGGGCUAGGAGUAUAGCUUAGUGGUAGAAUGUGUCCCUAAGACAUGAAAAGGCCUCCUACAUUAAAUCCCCAGCAUUUUACAGAAACUCCUAAUCUGAGCAUGCUUUGUCUAGAAUUCCAGCAUUCAGAAGCAGAGGUACAUGACAGACUUGGCAUUGGGGGAAGAGGGGGAAAGGCUUGAGGAUGUAGCUUAGUUGAGCUGUCUACCAUGCUCUAAACCCUGAGUUUGAUCUCCAGCACUAAAUAAAACUGGGCAUGGUGCACGCACACCAGCGCUUGGAGGUUAGAAGCAAGAGGAACAGAAUUUCAGAUUAGUUUAUCAUACUCAGCUAUAUACAGAUGUGCACAUCUAUACCCCCUUUUUAAAAAGCCCAUCAUGGUGUCAACAUACCUUCAAUCCCAGCACUCAAGAGAUAGAAGCAGGCAGGUCUCUGAGUUGAAGCCAGUCCAGACCAACUUAAAAAGUUAUUUCUAUAUAGUUUGAAUACGAGAUUUGGAAAAUAGUGUGCAUAGGGGAAUAGAGUAAUGAUAUGUGCCAUAUUGUAAAGACAGAACAAUUAACUUCUCCAGCUUGAAUUGGCUUUCUACAGCUCAGCAGGAGCUUAAAGAUGGGAUACACCCAAUACAAGCAUCAGGCAAACCAGAAAAUAAGGAGUUAUGUUUAGGCUCAUAGGUCAUUACAUUAAUAUCUGAAGGCAAUCUAUUCCACGGGUUUGCACGGCAUUAUAAUUAGGUGGCUGUCAGAGACACAAACAGGUUCCUUAGAGCUGAGGACAGAAGUGCCUUGGGCAUGCUACGCAAGGGUUUUAACAGCUCUCUACUUACAGCCCUAAAGAUUUAUUUUUUAAAAAUUUAUUACACAGUGUUCUGCCGGCAAGUAUGCCUGCAGGCCAGAAAAGAGCAUAGAUCUUAUUGAAGAUGGUUGUGAGUAACCAUGUGGUUGCUGGAAAUUGAACUCAGGACCUCUGGAAGAGCACAAAGUGCUCUUAACCCCCAAUCAACUCUCCAACCCCUAAAUAUUUUUUUUAUAGGGCAGGUAACCCCACUUAAGAUAGAGGUCAAUAUAGAAGUUGGCAGGUAGCAGUUGGUAACUCAUUUAUAGUCAAAUCUAAUUUAGGGUGCAAAGAUAUUCCAUUUAAAUGGUUUCUCACUGUGCUAUUGUCAUCUGUAACUCGAGGCACUCCUGAGUAGUUUGAACUACAACAUGAACACUACAGUACCCCUGCUUCAAAUCAAAUAACCAAUGAGAAUGCUCACUUCUGAUUUAAUUUUGACAAAGUUGAGCAAACAGGAACUGGCCUUACUUUUGAUAAGCAGUGGCAACAGCAUCUUGUCCCAAUAAUUGUAACUUGGAGGAAUGGACUCAAUCCCCAACAUCACAAAUCAUUCCACCACCCUUUUCACAAAUGAGUUAUCUUUCUGCUCCUGAAAGUUUUGAAGAGUCAUGGAUAUUAUCAUGUAGUUUGAUACCAUGCUUUAAAAAAAAGAAUCCUUUAAUCACUAGAAUGCAACAUUUGCAUUUUUUCCCACCAAAUAGUAAGUUUGAACUCUCAUAUUUUUGGUAAUGUGUCAUCUUUCAUUAAAGAAAUACUACAAAACAAUCCUCAAAGGGUUAAUAGCUCAGUGCUAUAACACUUGCCUACCCAGCAUGUACAAAGUCCUGGGUUAGCUCUCCUACACUAUAGUGAUUAAACUCAGCUAGUUAUCUCAAUACAUUUCCAGCUAUGGGGGAUUCUAAAUGAAGGGAGGGCAUUAUGUUGUUCAAGCCAGUCACCAGUCUAAAACUCCUUACCUUCCUCCUAAGUGCUAGGAUUUCAGUUCUGUCCCAUUCCCUAAGUUUCUGUUUAGUCCUCGAACACCAGGAACUGGCUCUCUAGACCAGGGUGACUUCAAAGAUUCCCCUGCCUCUGCCUCCUAGAGUUAGAAUUAGUGUGCCACCACACCCACCUUGGUUGCCCAUUUUUUAACUUCCAAAACUGUGGGGUAGGGGUGGAAUGGGCAGAUGGGACAUUGACGACAUUCCACAGGUUGAGGAUAUGGCUCAGGGGUUGAAGACUUAUUAUACUCAGCAUGUACAUGUCCUUUAGUUGAAUACCUAACAUUGCAACAACUACUCAGUAAGAAAAGUGUAUGUGAAAGCAGGAGUGGUGGUAGAAAGGAAAUCUUCCCCUCCUAGAUAAUUCAGAUACUGGAUAAUGACCUUAAAAAUUCUUAGAGGAAGGCCUGGUAGUGGUGGUUCAUGCUUUUCAUUGAACAUGAACAAAGGAAGACAUGAACAAAGGGGACAAAGGAAGGUUAUCUCUGAGUUUGUUUCAAAAACAAACAAGUUUGUAGAGAAAGCUAGGUGUAACGGUACACACCUCUAAUCCCAGUACUUGGGAUUAGAGAGGUGGAUCUCUGGGAAUUGGAAGCCAGCCUAGUCUACAUUGCUGAGUUUUGAAGACAACCUCAGCUACAUUGUGAGACCUUGUUUUUUCUUUUUUGUUGGGGGGAGGGUGUCACAGGUAUGGUUCAGUGGGUAAAUAAAUGUGCUUGACAUAAGCCUGAAAACAACUUGAGUUUGGUCUGGGGAUCUGGCAGUAGGAGACAAAUGACCCCAGAAAGUUUUCCUCUGAUCUCCACAAAGAUACUUGUGUCUGUGUAGUCAUACAAGAUUUAAAAAGAAAAGAAAAAACUUUCACAGAAUCUAACCAAUUAAGUGUUGAUAGCAUACGCUACAGCUAGAAAUUCAUCUUCCCGUUUCCCCUCACCUAGACCACCUACACUGCUCAGGAUGGGCUCAAAUUAAAACUAACUUUUGGCACUCCGAGUACCUGAGAGGUACACAAUAAAAUGAAAAUUACUUCUGGGAUAUGCAAAGUAACACUAGCAGAAUUUAAAACUUACUAGCAACGAGGAAAAAUGAUUGUAAAAUAAACUCAGGGUAUCUCUAAAACAUUUACUCACGUUUCUAGAAUAAGAUUGAAAUAGCAAGGAUGCAUGUUCAACUUUAUAGCAGGUAUAUUAAAAAACAAAACAACAUUUUUCUUACAGGUUUGCCAUAAACUAGACCUGAAGGGAGCAAGGAUGUGAUUUGAUACACAGGUUUGGCCGGAUCCCAAAUUCAAGCCCAAUCAUAGGGUAAAACAGGGUCGCUAUCCCAGACUGAACUCUGAAACUAUCCAUGUUGCUGGGGAUGACCUUGACUUCUGAUCCUGUUUAUAUGUCCUGAGUUCUAGGAUUAAAAGUAUAUGCUUUCACUCCUGGUUUAUGGGGCCAGACUUUGUGAAUGCUAGGUAAGCACUCUAUCAAUAUGAAAUAACUACAUCUAUAGGCAUCUGAAAAGUAAAAAAAGAAAGUCAUACCUGGGGGGAAAAAAUCUGACUUAAUGUCACAAAUCAAGCUAAAUGGUUUAAAGUAUUCUUCAAGUCACCAACUCCACAGCGGGACUUGAAAACUAAGCUAUCACUGCUGAGAGAUGUGUUUCCAUUUAUGUUUACAAUGUUGUUCUUUUGCUUGUUUCCCUUUUGAGACAACCUUCUGUCAUAGCCUUGAAUGGCCUGCAACUUUCAGGAAGACCAGGCUUCCAACACAGAGGCAACCUUGCCUGCUGCCUCCAAGUUCUGGGAUUAAAGGAAUCUCUGUGCUCAUGGGUAUCCCUGCACAGUCUAAGAAUUAAGACCCUAGAUUAAAAACCCUGUACAGAGGACAGGAAGAGAUGGCUUAAUGGGCAAAGCUGCCUGCUGCCAAGCCUGACAACUUGAGUUGGAUUCCAGAACCCACCUGCGCGUUUUCAUCCUCUUACCUCCACUAAUAAGGAAUACAGACAAAAGUUCGGCGUGAUUCACGACUCCAGCACUUAGGAGGCUGAUCCAGGAGGAUCACCUAGUGAUCCUAAAAUCUUAUCUAAAAUGUGUGAAGAUAUAUUUUGAUACUGUAACUAAUGCUGUUCCAUCCCAAGGUCUGAAUGUCACUCAAAGGUCAGAAAUGUUACUAAAUCUAUUUUGCUACCUCUUUGUCAGUAGCCCCUGAGAA
Myodes glareolus (Bank vole) is the source of this 4731-nucleotide non-coding RNA. The record is from RefSeq and is a predicted model, not a curated record. Lineage: Eukaryota; Metazoa; Chordata; Mammalia; Rodentia; Cricetidae.